Molecule: RNA transcript, 1943 nt
Organism: Mytilus californianus (California mussel)
Lineage: Eukaryota; Metazoa; Mollusca; Bivalvia; Mytilida; Mytilidae
Gene name: BTB/POZ domain-containing protein KCTD6-like
Exons: 8
Source: RefSeq, a predicted model, not a curated record
AGAAAGAAAGAAAAUUGGUGUCUUUCCCCAGUUCGUAGUGUUCCUUCAAGAAUUUAUGAGAAGAUAGAUGGACAACUUAUUGUUGUCAGAACCAACUGAGAAUCAAGCAGGUUCAUGUGAGUCUGGUACCUCAAAUUCAAGAUCAGAACGUGGAGCUCCAGGUUGGAAACAAAGAUCAAGAUCAAGAACCAGAUCAAGAAGUAUGAAUAACAGCAGACAUAAAAGGUCAAGAUCGAGAUCGCCAUAUCACAGAAGGUCCUACAAACAUAGAGAUCAAUCCCCUUGUUACCAUGACAAAAGAUGCAAAGACCCAAGCCAGAUUGAUAUUGGUAGAAGUGGUAGCAGAUCACAGUCACCAAGACACAAGGGGGAAGGAAAGAUUCCUGCAGUUAUAGAGUUGAAUGUUGGAGGACGGAUUUUUCAAACAACACUGGAUACAAUUACAAAAUACCCACAAUCCUUCUUGGGUGCAAUGAUUAGUGGUCGUCACAAAUUGAAUUUGGACCAGAAAGGUCGAUAUUUCAUUGAUAGAAAUGGUGAACAUUUUGAACAUAUUUUAGAAUUUCUAAGAGAUGACACAUACCUACCUCCUAAGGAUGUUGUUGUAGGAGUAUUUCGCGAUGCCGAUUACUUUGCUAUUACUGAACUACGAGAUAAAUUACUCAAACUACCACCUCUGUAUCCAUUUUAUGGCAAUAGACCAGACCCAAUAGACAAUUACACAGAAAUAAAAGAAAGUGUUUUGGAAGCAGCAUAUGAUUUCAAAAAAGCCUCAGCACAUGGACAGACAGUGGUAUAUUUAAUAUAUCUUCAGGAAUCAGAAGGCGGUAUAGGUUUUGUUUAUCACAAUGAACGCCACCAUAUGUUAGAUUUGGUUAUACCUAUGGAUGGUUUUGAUAAUACAGAAAUGAUUGAGGCAUACAACAUAGACACAGAGGAUUUCUCGAUGACAAUUCCUCUCAAGGUUGGCGACAAACACCAGGCAUUGUCUAUCUCAAAUUGUAUAGUGCAUGAUUUAACAAAAGAAGGAUUGGAUAUUAAAUUGGAAAAUGAGAAUUGUACCACUGAGGGAUCUAUGACAGUGUUUGGAUUAACAACAAAGAAAUAUGGCGAAAUGGAAUGUAAACAUUGUUACUGUCAUAGUAAAUUUACAUUUUCUUGGUCACACUAAGGUGAAGGACAUUGUUACUGUCAUAGUAAAUUGACAUUUUCUUGGUCAAACUAAGAUGAAGAACAUUGUUACUGUCAUAGUAAAUUGACAUAUUCUUGGUCAAACUAAGGUGAAGAACAUUGGUACUGUCAUAGUAAAUUGACAUUUUCUUGGUCAAACUAAGGUGAAGGACAUUGUUACGGUCAUAGUAAAUUGAUAUUUUCUUGGUCAAACUAAGGUGAAGGACAUUGUUACUGUCAUAGUAAAUUGACAUUUUCUUGGUCAGACUAAGGUGAAGGACAUUGUUACUGUCAUAGUAAAUUGAAAUUUUCUUGGUCAAACUAAGGUGAAAAAAAACAACUAAAACAAAGAUGAGACAUAUCUAGAAGUUCUUUAAGAAUGUAUUCUCAAAAUGUACGUGUAAAUUAUCAUUAUCAUUGUCAAUAUGCAAUAAACAUGCAUCAUAAAAGUGUUUUGAAAUUCAUAUACAUAUAUAUAUUAAAAUUAACACAACAUAUUGUAUUUAAUCACAAUACAAUACACAUGGACACAAAAAAAAAACAUCACUCUUGGCAGUGUUCCAUGAUUCAUAUAUAGUAUAACCAUAUGAUAUAUGACUGGUAGACAUACAAAGUAAUAAAAUAUCCCAAUUAAAUAUUAUACCACUGUUACCCAAAUACAUAUGGGGUAUGUUGUUAAGAUAUUUGGAAUUCUAAAAGCAAAAAUAUGGAUCUAAAAGAACUGAAAAAGAAGAAAUAUUAUUUCCUGGUACAUGUAGAUCUCAUUACUGGGG